RNAcentral lists this long non-coding RNA (2374 nucleotides) under Citrus sinensis (sweet orange). Its description in RNAcentral is "long non-coding RNA (CSIN_LNC004720)". Lineage: Eukaryota; Viridiplantae; Streptophyta; Magnoliopsida; Sapindales; Rutaceae. The record is from RNAcentral.
ACAACUUCAAUUCACAUAGAAAUAAUAGUGGUGGAUACUUACUGCAUAUAUUGUCGGUAAAUACCAGUUUAUUGGUGCAUCAUUGCGUUUAGCCCGUUCAUAUAGUGUGAGGUGAUAUGCUAUCAUGGUGAGAAUCUAAAACAGUGGUCAAUAAGUGAGAACUUAGUAUUCAAUUUUGCAAUAAGGCAUCCAAACAUAUAGUACGAUGAUGUGAGUGCCAAUGCACCACAAACCUCUCCACUCAGAGCCGUGUUAGGCAAAAGGCUCAUGAAAUUAUGCCUGGAGAUAAAUUGAUCAUCAGUAGAGACAACGAUUUCGCUGAAAACACAAACAAGUAAUAAAGUGUUAGCUAAUCAAUAUAUAUGUAUAGGGGAAUAAAAAAUACAAAGCCCUAUAAACCACAAGUACCUUCCGUUACCACCUUUAUCAAAUGCAUAUUGAAUGAGCUUCAAUUGGUCAAGAGAAAGGGGGUUAUUUACAUAGAAAUGACCAGCUUUAAACUUAGCCUUCGCUCCCCGAGACACUUUAUCAUAAGGAGAGAGUUGGUAUCGUCCUGGCCUUCUGUUCCGUGCUGGUCAUGUUGCUGGUAUGCUCAUGCUAGUGGAGGUCUGGAACUCUUGCUUAGUGUCAAGUGGUUCAGCUAAAUUCUAUAUAUGUCCAGGGUCAAAAUUAAUUCAUUAUCAUUAAAACUAAAUUACAACUAAAGAUCGCUUAGACAAACCUCUCCCUCCUCUCGAGGUAUUGGCGUUAAAUGGAGAUCCUGUCCUCUAUUAAAUUGAAAUGAAUCGAGCGGAGUUUCACUAGUAUAUGCAGUAGUCCCAAUACAGCCCAACAUAACAUCAAAGGCUCGUAAACUUGCUUUCACUCUACGAUCCACGGUGUCGUCAUCACUGACCAAAAUCAUUUUCCCUUCAGUUUUUGACAUUGUUUUUCCAUCCGGAGAUGUAUGAUUUUGACUUUUCAAAUUUGAAGGUGGAUCGGGAGCAACUAGUUGUUUGCUUGAUCCUCCGUGAUACUUUGAUGUCAACUCUCCCAAUAUUUUCUCUAUGUUUUCCAAUCUGUGUUCAAUGGUUUGGAAUGACUCUUUGUUUUGUGCGACGAAUGACCCAAACCUUUCCAUUAGUAACUAAAAAGCAUCAUUAUUCGCAUUGUUCCACCCAGGAGGUUCUGCUUGUUCAGGCUUAUGAAGCCGAUCAGGGUCACGCAUCGAAACCUAAAAUAAUUCAUAAAAUAAUAACAAUUUAGUCCAAAAAUAUGGUAAUUGAUUUCAUUAAAAUAGUAUGCAUGUAUUCUAUACCUUAUUGCUUUUGAUGCUGAUAAAUGCAUAUUUUUCAUAUAUUUUGUUAUUAAUUUCUCCAUCUUUUUCUUGUUUUGAUAUGAAACAUUCUAGUUAUUUUAGUUAAUUUUUAAUUGAAUAUGGAAUUAAUUAAUAUACAUAUUUUACCCUUUAUUAUAUAUUUGCUAGUUAUUUUUAUUUAUUAUUUUUAAUUAAUUGUAUUAUUUUAUUGAAUAGGGAAUUAAUUGGAGAUUGUGGAUAAAAAGGACAUGAAGAAGUUCAAACAAAAAAAUCUUAUUGUACAGAGCAAUGUUUGAAAAUUAUCAUAGAUAAACAACUUCAAUUCACAUAGAAAUAAUAGUGGUGGAUACUUACUGCAUAUAUUGUCGGUAAAUACCAGUUUAUUGGUGCAUCACUGCGUUUAGCCCGUUCAUAUAGUGUGAGGUGAUAUGCUAUCAUGGUGAGAAUCUAAAACAGUGGUCAAUAAGUGAGAACUUAGUAUUCAAUUUUGCAAUAAGGCAUCCAAACAUAUAGUACGAUGAUGUGAGUGCCAAUGCACCACAAACCUCUCCACUCAGAGCCGUGUUAGGCAAAAGGCUCAUGAAAUUAUGCCUGGAGAUAAAUUGAUCAUCAGUAGAGACAACGAUUUCGCUGAAAACACAAACAAGUAAUAAAGUGUUAGCUAAUCAAUAUAUAUGUAUAGGGGAAUAAAAAAUACAAAGCCCUAUAAACCACAAGUACCUUCCGUUACCACCUUUAUCAAAUGCAUAUUGAAUGAGCUUCAAUUGGUCAAGAGAAAGGGGGUUAUUUACAUAGAAAUGACCAGCUUUAAACUUAGCCUUCGCUCCCCGAGACACUUUAUCAUAAGGAGAGAGUUGGUAUCGUCCUGGCCUUCUGUUCCGUGCUGGUCAUGUUGCUGGUAUGCUCAUGCUAGUGGAGGUCUGGAACUCUUGCUUAGUGUCAAGUGGUUCAGCUAAAUUCUAUAUAUGUCCAGGGUCAAAAUUAAUUCAUUAUCAUUAAAACUAAAUUACAACUAAAGAUCGCUUAGACAAACCUCUCCCUCCUCUCGAGGUAUUGGCGUUAAAUGGAGAUCAUGUU